This 522-nucleotide long non-coding RNA is filed under the name Homo sapiens (human). RNAcentral describes it as "HSALNT0322729". The record is from RNAcentral. Lineage: Eukaryota; Metazoa; Chordata; Mammalia; Primates; Hominidae.
UUUACAGCACAUGAACUUUGGGGGACACACUUAAACCAUAGUGCCGUCUUCAGUCUGAGAAGAAUUUCUGUCUUUCAUUGAAGUUCCAAAGGCUUCUUAUUUUGAUGACUUUGCCUAAAGAAGGGAUUCUACAGCCAAAUGCUUUCUUUUUAACAUACCGAAUGAGUAAAAGUGCAAAAUAAGUACAGAACUAUCAAACAGCAACAAAUGUGCUUCUGCUGCCUACCACAGAAUUUUCCUUGGUAAGAAGAAAACCCUACAUUACAUUUCUUUUUGGCUUCUGUCUCUGCAGCCUCAGAGUUGAUGAUGAAUGCAGUCCUGCUCCACUUUGAUUCCAUCUGGCUCUGGAAGGUGUUUCUGAAGAUUUGUGAACAGCAUUUGAAUUUCUAGCCUGGGAAACACCAAUGACCCAUAGUCUACCUGGGAUCAGCAUUUCCCCAUAUGGUAUGAUUUUGGGGUAUUGGGAUGGCUGCCUGUCCUCCAAAAUAGCUCAUUAUUUAAAGCCAUCAAGUUAUUUUUUUC